This 252-nucleotide ribosomal RNA is filed under the name uncultured bacterium. RNAcentral describes it as "partial 16S ribosomal RNA". It matches the Rfam family "Bacterial small subunit ribosomal RNA", at positions 524 to 776 of the family's 1533-position model. The record is from RNAcentral.
UACGUAGGGUGCAAGCGUUAUCCGGAAUUAUUGGGCGUAAAGAGCUCGUAGGCGGUUUGUCGCGUCUGCUGUGAAAACUGGGGCUCAACCCCCAGCCUGCAGUGGGUACGGGCAGACUAGAGUGCGGUAGGGGAGAUUGGAAUUCCCGGUGUAGUGGUGAAAUGCGCAGAUAUCAGGAGGAACACCGGUGGCGAAGGCGGGUCUCUGGGCCGAUACUGACGCUGAGGAGCGAAAGCGUGGGGAGCGAACAGG